GACGAACGCUGGCGGCGUGCUUAACACAUGCAAGUCGAACGGAAAGGCCCUGCUUUGGGGGGGGGCUCGAGUGGCGAACGGGGGAGGAACACGGGAGGAACCGGACCGAGACUGUGGGAUAACUUCAGGAAACUGGGGCUAAUACCGGAAAGGAGCUCCUGCUGCAUGGUGGGGGUUGGAAAGUUUCGGCGUGUGGGGAUGGACUCGCGGCUUAUCAGCUUGUUGGUGGGGUAGUGGCUUACCAAGGCUUUGACGGGUAGCCGACAUGGGAGGGUGAACGGCCACAUGGGGCCUGAGAUACGGACCAGAGUGCUACGGGAGGCAGUAGUGGGGAAUCUUGCACAAUGGGACCACGCCUGAUGAGGAAGCCCCGCGUGCGGGAUGCCGGCCUUUGGGUUAAGAACCGCUUUAGCCUGAGACGAAGCGUGAGUGACGGUACUGAGUAAAGAAGCACCGGCUAACUACGUG
Molecule: ribosomal RNA, 468 nt
Filed under: uncultured bacterium
Lineage: Bacteria
Description: partial 16S ribosomal RNA
Rfam family: Bacterial small subunit ribosomal RNA
Source: RNAcentral